GUGAAUCAUCAAAUUUUUGAACGCAAAUUGCACUCUCCUCGGAGAGUAUGCCGGUUUGAGGGGCAGCCUAUAAAAAUCGACAUCGUUGCUGUUGCGCGGUGGCGUGCGUCGGAAAUUGGGUCAUCUUAAAGCCUUUUGAUUUAAGCGACUUAAAAUUUUCUUUUUGGGUCCAUGAACGUUUCGAAGAUUUAUUUCUUUACACGUUUAAGGGUAUCGAUUUUUAUUAGACGUGACCAUCAUAUCGGAUCGCUUCCAGAAUCUUUCAUUAACUGACCGCAGACAGGUAAGA
RNAcentral lists this unclassified non-coding RNA (289 nucleotides) under Glomus sp. RNAcentral's name for it is "partial contains 5.8S ribosomal RNA and internal transcribed spacer 2". The stretch from base 1 to 65 matches the Rfam family "5.8S ribosomal RNA", at positions 84 to 154 of the family's 154-position model. Lineage: Eukaryota; Fungi; Glomeromycota; Glomeromycetes; Glomerales; Glomeraceae. The record is from RNAcentral.